RNAcentral lists this long non-coding RNA (234 nucleotides) under Elaeis guineensis (African oil palm). Its description in RNAcentral is "long non-coding RNA (EGUI_LNC024925)". Lineage: Eukaryota; Viridiplantae; Streptophyta; Magnoliopsida; Arecales; Arecaceae. The record is from RNAcentral.
GCCGCAUCUUUGUUGCCCGAUAUAUUGUAUUUGAUGAACUUGUCUUUCCUUUUGCUGUAUAGAACCAGAGAAGACCUACAUAGCAUCCAUUGCCUGCACUUUUUGAUUUUUUUCCAUCGAAUAGCUCAGAGCCACCUGGUCCGUUCAGCUUUGGGCCUGAUCUGCAUGAGGUGGCGACCCCUACUGUAGAAGCUACUGUGUAGGCACUUGCUGCACCGACUGAUCCCUCUGAGC